Molecule: ribosomal RNA, 163 nt
Filed under: Thanatephorus cucumeris
Lineage: Eukaryota; Fungi; Basidiomycota; Agaricomycetes; Cantharellales; Ceratobasidiaceae
Description: 5.8S ribosomal RNA
Rfam family: 5.8S ribosomal RNA
About the family: 5.8S ribosomal RNA (5.8S rRNA) is a component of the large subunit of the eukaryotic ribosome.
Source: RNAcentral
ACUAAGUUUCAACAACGGAUCUCUUGGCUCUCGCAUCGAUGAAGAACGCAGCGAAAUGCGAUAAGUAAUGUGAAUUGCAGAAUUCAGUGAAUCAUCGCAUCUUUGAACGCACCUUGCGCUCCUUGGUAUUCCUUGGAGCAUGCCUGUUUGAGUAUCAUGAAAU